GGGNUUUGGNCAUGGGGGAACCCUGCUCCAGCAAUGCCGCGUGUGUGAAGAAGGCCUUCGGGUUGUAAAGCACUUUUGUCCGGAAAGAAAACUUCCUGGUUAAUACCUGGGGAGGAUGACGGUACCGGAAGAAUAAGCACCGGCUAACUACGUGCCAGCAGCCGCGGUAAUACGUAGGGUGCGAGCGUUAAUCGGAAUUACUGGGCGUAAAGCGUGCGCAGGCGGUUCGUUAAGACAGAUGUGAAAUCCCCGGGCUUAACCUGGGAACUGCAUUUGUGACUGGCGAGCUAGAGUAUGGCAGAGGGGGGUAGAAUUCCACGUGUAGCAGUGAAAUGCGUAGAGAUGUGGAGGAAUACCGAUGGCGAAGGCAGCCCCCUGGGCCAAUACUGACGCUCAUGCACGAAAGCGUGGGGAGCAAACAGGAUUAGAUACCCUGGUAGUCCACGCCCUAAACGAUGUCAACUAGUUGUUGGGGAUUCAUUUCCUUAGUAACGUAGCUAACGCGUGAAGUUGACCGCCUGGGGAGUACGGUCGCAAGAUUAAAACUCAAAGGAAUUGACGGA
This 563-nucleotide ribosomal RNA is filed under the name uncultured bacterium. RNAcentral describes it as "bacterial SSU rRNA". It matches the Rfam family "Bacterial small subunit ribosomal RNA", at positions 359 to 917 of the family's 1533-position model. The record is from RNAcentral.